AAGACUGUCCGGGAGAAGAAAAGGCUUCUAACUUUUUCUUAAGCGAUUAAAUUUCGUUUAUAGUCUUA
Molecule: transfer RNA, 68 nt
Filed under: Domecia hispida
Lineage: Eukaryota; Metazoa; Arthropoda; Malacostraca; Decapoda; Domeciidae
Description: tRNA-Ser
Source: RNAcentral